CGGACAAACAGUACAAAUCACAAACACUGAACUGGUAGCAGAGUGCCUCAUUGUUGGAACUGACACCAACUGCAACUGUUCUACAAAUUAUCUUUGGAGCAAUGAAGUGUGCUACAACUACAACUGCUGUGGGGAUGCUACUUGCACACAAAAUGUAUCCUACAUCACACCCCUCUGUUCUCCUAAAGUUCAAGUUUUCAUCAAUGGAUCAGUACAGACUGCAGCAUGGGAUCAAACCAAAAACACAACGCUUCAAAGCCAAUUUCAAAAACUGAAUGCUAUUCAGUAUGUGAACGUUACUGGUCCAAGAAUCAUCUCCAUAUCCACUCAAGUGCUAA
Long non-coding RNA from Oreochromis aureus, 338 nucleotides. RefSeq lists it as uncharacterized. The transcript is spliced from 5 exons. The record is from RefSeq and is a predicted model, not a curated record. Lineage: Eukaryota; Metazoa; Chordata; Actinopteri; Cichliformes; Cichlidae.